AGCUUUGCGCAGUGGCAGUAUCGUAGCCAAUGAGGUUUAUCCGAGGCGCGAUUAUUGCUAAUUGAAAACAAAGAUAAACCUCCUUCUUUUGAAAUAGUUGCAUGGGAUUCUAUUGUAUAGAUGUUCAAAACA
Molecule: small nuclear RNA, 132 nt
Filed under: Neogale vison (American mink)
Lineage: Eukaryota; Metazoa; Chordata; Mammalia; Carnivora; Mustelidae
Description: Neovison vison (American mink) U4 spliceosomal RNA (ENSNVIG00000015143.1)
Rfam family: U4 spliceosomal RNA
About the family: U4 small nuclear RNA (U4 snRNA) is a component of the major U2-dependent spliceosome. The structure of U4 snRNA from yeast and human has been reported.
Source: RNAcentral